GUGCCAGCCGCUGCGGUAAUACGUAUGUCACAAGCGUUAUCCGGAUUUAUUGGGCGUAAAGCGCGUCUAGGUGGUUAUGUAAGUCUGAUGUGAAAUGCAGGGCUCAACUCUGUAUUGCGUUGGAAACUGUGUAACUAGAGUACUGGAGAGGUAAGCGGAACUGCAGGUGUAGAGGUGAAAUUCGUAGAUAUUUGUAGGAAUGCCGAUGGGAAGCCAGCUUACUGGACAGAUACUGACGCUGAAGCGCGAAAGCGU
Molecule: ribosomal RNA, 255 nt
Filed under: uncultured Fusobacterium sp.
Lineage: Bacteria; Fusobacteriati; Fusobacteriota; Fusobacteriia; Fusobacteriales; Fusobacteriaceae
Description: partial 16S ribosomal RNA
Rfam family: Bacterial small subunit ribosomal RNA
Source: RNAcentral